This 502-nucleotide ribosomal RNA is filed under the name uncultured bacterium. Its description in RNAcentral is "partial 16S ribosomal RNA". It matches the Rfam family "Bacterial small subunit ribosomal RNA", at positions 28 to 523 of the family's 1533-position model. The record is from RNAcentral.
GAUGAACGCUAGCGGCAGGCUUAAUACAUGCAAGUCGAGGGGCAGCGCAGUGUAGCAAUACAUGGGCGGCGACCGGCAAACGGGUGCGGAACACGUACGCGACCUUCCUUUAAGUGGGGGAUAGCCCAGGGAAACUUGGAUUAAUACCCCGUAAUAUUAUGAAGUGGCAUCACUUUAUACUUAUAGCUCCGGCGCUUAAAGAUGGGCGUGCGACUGAUUAGGUAGUUGGCGGGGUAACGGCCCACCAAGCCUGCGAUCAGUAACUGGUGUGAGAGCCCGACCAGUCACACGGGCACUGAGACACGGGCCCGACUCCUACGGGAGGCAGCAGUAAGGAAUAUUGGUCAAUGGACGCAAGUCUGAACCAGCCAUGCCGCGUGGAGGAUGAAGGUCCUCUGGAUUGUAAACUUCUUUUAUUUGGGAAGAAACCCACUGUUUCUACGGUGGUUGACGGUACCAGAUGAAUAAGCACCGGCUAACUCCGUGCCAGCAGCCGCGGUAA